CCAAACACAAGUGUUUUGGGCUUCUCCUAUGAUUAAAUGACAUGCAGCAUCAAUUAUCAUCUUGACCGGUUAACAUUUCCCUGUUGCAAUCUCAAUUGUGUAAAAAGAUUAAUCAUAGCAGAAGUAAAGUAGUUGUAAUCACAAUUGUGUUUUUAUCUCAAAUAGAUCGGCCGAAAAUUUUAAAAAGUCACCACAAGUCGUAUAGUGCAUUUCCUAGUUCUUCAGCAUCAACUUUUCCACUUUUAUGUGCUAUCAAAACUCUUGAAGAUAGCGAA
This 275-nucleotide long non-coding RNA is filed under the name Helianthus annuus (common sunflower). RNAcentral's name for it is "sRNA HanXRQr2_Chr02g0051171". Lineage: Eukaryota; Viridiplantae; Streptophyta; Magnoliopsida; Asterales; Asteraceae. The record is from RNAcentral.